UAACCCUCAUCCAUGCGAUUUAACGAUUGCAUGAAUGGAUUUGGACGUUGCCGUAGUUGGCUCGUCUUGAAAUGCAUUAGCUUUGCGCCCAUUAGCGUGCUCGGUGUGAUAAUUAUCAUUCGCCUUAGGCCGCUUCCAGUGACGCUGCUUCUAAUGGUCCUCUGAGGACAAUAAAUCUAAAG
Molecule: unclassified non-coding RNA, 182 nt
Filed under: uncultured Auriculariales
Lineage: Eukaryota; Fungi; Basidiomycota; Agaricomycetes; Auriculariales
Description: sequence contains ITS2
Source: RNAcentral